GGACGGCUAUCUGGGCUGGGAGAGCAUCUGCCCCAUAAGCAGAGGGUCGGCGGUCUGAUCCCGUCAGCGUCCACCA
Molecule: transfer RNA, 76 nt
Filed under: Paenibacillus larvae
Lineage: Bacteria; Bacillati; Bacillota; Bacilli; Caryophanales; Paenibacillaceae
Description: tRNA-Met
Source: RNAcentral